This 4095-nucleotide long non-coding RNA is filed under the name Homo sapiens (human). Its description in RNAcentral is "HSALNT0270588". Lineage: Eukaryota; Metazoa; Chordata; Mammalia; Primates; Hominidae. The record is from RNAcentral.
GACUGGGAAGGUGGGAAGUGGGAGGACCGUCCAACAUGGCGCUGUGGAAAGCCAGCGCAGGGCCCCAGGGGAUCUUCCGGGGCGGAUGCAGCUGCCUAGGAGUGCUGGGGCUCGCGCGCCUCGGCGGCUCAAACUCUGACCCCUUGAGAUCCUUUCCAGCCCGACCCCUUACUUUAGGGGUCAGCCUGCCCCCGUAAGUCCUGUUAUUUAUUGUAUUUAUAUUCUUUUUUUAGUUGGUCCUUUUUUGUUUGUUUUUGAGACGGAGUUUCACUCUUGUUGCCCAGGCUGGAGUGCCAUGGCGCGAUCUCAGCUCACUCCAAUCUCUGCCCUCCGGGUUCAAGCGAUUCUCCAGCCUCAGCCUCCCGAGUAGCUGGAAUUACAGGCGCGCGCCAACACGUCCGGCUAAUUUUCGUAUUUGUAGUAGAGACGGGGGUUUCGCCACCUUGGCCAGGCUGGUCUAGAACUCCUGACCUUAGGUGAUCCACCCGCCUCGGCCUCCUAAAGUGCUGGGAUUACAGGCGUGAGCCACCGCCCCUCACGCCUGGCUAGUUUGUCCUUUUCAUGGGGACUUUUUAUUGUACGCGGGUUACUCUGAAAAAGAUCGCGAUUCGUCCCCUCGCCCUGCAGGCGCCGCUGCCGCCUCGCCUCGGGCGUGGACCCUGCGGCUCGGGCCUGCGCGUGUGCACCCCGAGGUUGUCUCACUUCCUGUUCAGGGCGACCAGCGCUGCGCCCUCCCCACUCCACAGAUGAGGAAGCUGAGGUUAAAGUCACUUGCCCCAGGUCACUCCGCAAGUUGAAGCGCAACCAGGAUACUCUGGAACAGGAUGCCUGACUUCAGAGGAGAGGCGCGUAACCACCAGGCAACUGGCCCCACGAAAACAAGUCCCGCAACUUCCCUUCUUUGGCUCCUACUUGCUCCCGGAAGAAAAGCCUUAAACGACAGCAGAUCAGGAGCACCCCGCGCGCCCCCCCCCGCCCCGCCCCGCGUCGGCGCCGGCCCCCUGCAAUGGUUGGCGGUAUGGGGAGGUGAACCAAGAAGGCCAGGAGUUCAAGUGCGUGAUCCCCCACUGGGGCAUAUAGGUUACAGCCGCCAGGGCAACUGAAACUCCUCAGGCUCCAGAGGGCUGAAGUGAGUCGCCUCCACGUUCUUGAGGUGCUUCCGAGCCAGGAACAGUGCGAGGCGCCGGCGCCGCCGCGAGCUCAGGCCCUGGCCCACCAGCCAUGGGAAGGCGGGUCCGUGUGGCCCCAGGGCCUCCUCGCCCUCCAGCUCCUCUUCGCAGCGUGCACGGUAGGAGCGCAGCAGCGCCAGGCACCAGUCCUCGUCCACGCGGUAGCGUGCAUAGAAGGCGGCCUCCUGCGCCAAGCUGCCAGCGCGCAGCCAGCGGGUGACGACGGCGCGGCCCUCUCGCGCCAUCACGACGGGGUAGCGGUGCUCCAGCAGGCGCAGCAGCAGCUCAUUGCCCCGGUUGCCCUCCACGUCACCAGGUGACAGGGGGCGCAGGCGGCCCGAAGUGCUGACCACGUCAUCCUGCGUGCGUCGGAGCAGCAGCACCGGCCCCGGGUAGCAGCACAGCUGCUCGGCCACGUUGAGGUUGAAGUGCUCGCGCACGGUGCGCACCACCAGCCCCUUCCAACUGUGGGGCAUGACCUUCAGCGCCAGCGGCACAAGGUCGUCGAAGGUGGCGUCCAGCACCAGUGCACCCAGCUCCGGGUAGGUCAUGGUGGCCCAGGUGGCCGUGAAGCCGCCAACAGACCAGCCGUAGACCACCAGGUGCGCGGGCGGGAAGUGCAGGCGGUGCAGUGCGUACUCGACCACCACGUCCAUGGCGUUGGCGUCGUGCUGAGGGAAGGGCACGCCAGUGCUGCUGCCGAAGCCGGGGUGGUUCCAGCCCAGCACGGAGUAGCCGGCCUCGAGCGGUGCAGACAGACAGCCCAUCUCGUAGAAGCCCGCGUUGCCUUCGCAGCAGAUGACGAGGCGCGGCCCGUGCACGUGGCUGCCCGGGUGCUGGCGGCGGUCCAUGAACAUAGUGUCGAUCUCGUUGCCGUCACAGGCCACCAGCUUGGCGCGCCGGCCGUGGUAGCGCUCCACGAGGCGCUCUUGGCCCUGCUGCAGCAGCGGCAGCAGCGCGCGCGUCAUCAGGGACACGGAGCCGGGGUACACGAGCCAGCGGCCCAGCGAGUGGGCCAGCGCGUAGCUAGCGAGCUGGCCGGGCAGCUCGCGGAGCUGCUGCAAGAGGCACUGCGCCUGGCUGCGCGCCCCACGUGGAGGCCGCCCCAGCGCAUCCCCGCCCAGCGUCUCGUCCCGCAGCAACCACACGCCCGCCGCGGCUGCCGCGCAGGUCAGCGCCCGGUGGCUGCUGCUCCGGCCCACGGCGCGCACGUCAUCCCAGCGGAAGGCCACGGGCCAGCCGCGGAAUGGGUAGGUGUAGCUGGCGGUCAGGUAGAUCUUGAACACGCGCACCAGCGCCUUCACGAAGCAGAUGACGCACAUGAGCGGUGGCCCUAACGCCCAGCCGCUGGGCCGGGAUCGCCGCGAGAGGCACAGGGCAGUCUUAGGGGAUACCGGCUCCCGGACAAGCCCUGAUGGCCUUUGUGACCUGGCCUUCCAGGGCGGAGGGAAGGCUGCAUCCUGUUGCUAGGUGAUGGGUGCACAAAGGGUUCCCAGAGAUGAUGAACCCAAGGUUCUGCCCGUCCCCCGCCUUCGCCAAGACCCCACCAGCUAAACGCUCCCAGGCCCAGCUUUCCCACCCAUGAUUUGAGCAGCUACUGUCUCCCUCUUUCUUCCUUAUUUAUUUAUUAAAUUGAGAUGGGGUCUCACUAUGCUGCCUAGGCUGGUCUUGAACCCCUGGGCUCAAGCGAUCCUCCCGCCUCCACCUCCCACAGUGUUGGGAUUACAGGUGUGAGUCCCUGCACCCCGCCUCCACCUCCCACAGUGUUGGGAUUACAGGUGUGAGUCCCUGCACCCCGCCUCCCUCUUCCUUAAAUUUAAGAUGGACAGCCCCACGGGCCAAAAAGGGACAGCAAGGCCUCCUCCGCCUGUACCAGGCUUGCUGUGGGUCCUGCAAGUUUCCCUUCAGGGUCUGCUGGUUUAAACCUCAUCUCCCCAGGACGGCCGGGGUCAGAGACAGGGCUGCUGCUGCACCAAAAAGGCGGUAUUUGCUCUCGGCCCGGCCCCUCCUCUCCACACCUUCCUUCUUCGGUGCUGACCAGAAACAAGCCCUCUCCUUUUCUGGAUCCUCUUUUCACUGGCUGCCAGCAACAGCAGUGACCUUCUGGGGCGGGUCCUGCCUGGCUGGGGUUCCUCUUUCUCGCUCCUGGGUCGAGCCCCCACUCCCAGGCUGCGCCUCCCUCUUUUCUGGAGAGGUAUCUUUUCUCCUGCCCUGGAAAGGGCCAGCCCACCUGAGGGCAGGGUCGGAAGCCGCCUGCCAGGAGGAGCCCCAGGGAAGAGGGCAGCUCCAGGUACUCAACAGCUCCCCAGACCAGAAACAAACAUGCUACAAUCAGGGAGUUUGGCAAAUCCAGCCAGAGCCUCUGAGCCCAGGUGCCAGGCCCGCCUGGGACCCCAGCCUUCUGGGGAAGGGGUAGUUUCAGGCUGAAGCACCCCCUCUCUGCUCUCCUGCUCAGCGUCUGGGUUAGAGGCACUGCCUGACCCUAACAGGCCCCGCCCCUAGUUGGGGGAGUCAGCUGCUGCCUUUAGGGGUUGGGGGACAGAAGACAGGGACCAAUUAACAAAGGGAGCGAUUUGGGGGGCUAUUACCCCCAUUCUAGGUUGCCAGAUAAAAUACAGAAUAAUAUGCCAGUUAAAUUGGAAUUACAAAUAAACAAAUACUUUUUGGGUAUAAGUAUGUUCCAACUUCUGCUUGAGACAUUAUUUUAAAAUUGUUUAUCUGAAAUUCAAAUUUAACUGGAUAUCCUGUUUUUUCUGUUUGUUUGUUUGUUUGUUUUUGAGACGGAGUCUCACUCUUGUCGCCCAGGCUGGAGUGCAAUGGUGCAAUCUCAGCUCACUGCAACCUCUGCCUCCUGGGUGUUCAAGCAAUUCUCCUGCCUCAGCCUCCCAAGUAGCUGGGAUUACAGGUGCCCGCCACCAUGCCCGGC